RNAcentral lists this ribosomal RNA (468 nucleotides) under uncultured bacterium. RNAcentral describes it as "partial 16S ribosomal RNA". It matches the Rfam family "Bacterial small subunit ribosomal RNA", at positions 28 to 507 of the family's 1533-position model. The record is from RNAcentral.
GACGAACGCUGGCGGCGUGCUUAACACAUGCAAGUCGAACGGAAGGGCCCUGCUUUUGUGGGGUGCUCGAGUGGCGAACGGGUGAGUAACACGUGUGUAUCCUGCCCUUGACUUUGGGAUAACUUCAGGAAACUGGGGCUAAUACCGGAUAGGAGCUCCUGCUGCAUGGUGGGGGUUGGAAAGUUUCGGCGGUUGUGGAUGGACUCGCGGCUUAUCAGCUUGUUGGUGGGGUAGUGGCUUACCAAGGCUUUGACGGGUAGCCGGCCUGAGAGGGUGACCGGCCACAAUGGGACUGAGAUACGGCCCAGACUCCUACGGGAGGCAGCAGUGGGGAAUAUUGCACAAUGGGCGGAAGCCUGAUGCAGCAACGCCGCGUGCGGAAUGACGGCCUUCGGGUGGUAAACCGAUUUGGCAGGUGACGAAGCGUGAGUGACGGUAAUGGGUAAAGAAGCACCGGCUAACUACGUG